This 963-nucleotide long non-coding RNA is filed under the name Trifolium pratense (red clover). Its description in RNAcentral is "long non-coding RNA (TPRA_LNC004980)". The record is from RNAcentral. Lineage: Eukaryota; Viridiplantae; Streptophyta; Magnoliopsida; Fabales; Fabaceae.
UUAAGUAAUGGAUGGCAAUAUAUCCACUCUCAUCCAAAUUCAGGAAUCCUGCGUUUAUGAGUUAUCAGGACAGAAAUGGAAUAAAGGAGCUAACAGUUGACUUGUUUGAACUGGAAAACAGACAAUGCAGAAGGGCUUAAAGGGUAAACAAAUCAAGUUUUAUAAUGUAAACCUUAUAGUUAAUGAUCUGUAUUUGAGUUGAAUAAGCACUAGUACAUAAACUUUUAGUUAAUGAUAUGAAGUCAUUGCUAUCAAUUUAGCUAAUGCUCAGUGUUAUAGUUGAAUAAUGUAUAGUACAUUGAGUUGUAGUACAAUAACAAUUUAAAUUGAAUAUUGUAAUCUUUUGAGUUGAGUAAAACAUAGUACAUUAGCUUCAGAAGGCUGUUCAAUGUACCUUAACUUUUGAUAAGCUAUGAUUUAUACAAUGUAAUGAGAAAGAUGAAACUUUUUAUAAACAAGUCUAAUUAACUUUUAAGCUCUCUUCCAAGGCUAAGUUAACUAUUGAUAAGCUAUUAUUUAUGUAAUGUAAUGAGAAACAUGCAACCUUUUUAAUCUGUUCAAUGUACCUUAACUGAUUACCUGAUGUGAAUGAUGAAUAAGUUUUGUAAGUUAUCAUGAGAAAGGUGUAACUUAAAUAAGUUUUGGUAACUUUAACGAAGAUGAUCCAACUUUUAUAGAACAAUGCUGUGUAAUUUUGGUCAAUAAUUUUUUUUAUAUUGAUUAUCCAAUUUUUAAAUAGUUUUGAUUAAAUACAUGAAACAUGUCUAUUUCCAAUACCAAAUUUUGUUACAAUGCUAAAUGUAUGUUUAUAAGGUGAUAAUUACAGAAACUUAAGUUUUAUUGCAAUUUGAAACAGGUUACAAAAAUAUGCACGCAACAUGGUGAUUAGACUUGAAGUCAAAAAUGUUAAGAAGGAGAAGGUGAAUGAUAUCAGUUUUACUUAGACAUAGAAGAACUAAGAGG